UUGUGCUGGUGAUGAUUAAAAAGCUAGCGAUGGUGAAUUCGAUGAAUUUGUUCGUGUGCCGCUGGGUGCGCAGCAGUGGUGAUAUGCAUUCUUACGUAGUUCACCUGACGCACGC
This 115-nucleotide small nucleolar RNA is filed under the name Oryza punctata. Its description in RNAcentral is "snoRNA snoZ188". It matches the Rfam family "Small nucleolar RNA Z188". Rfam says of the family: Z188 is a member of the C/D class of snoRNA which contain the C (UGAUGA) and D (CUGA) box motifs. Most of the members of the box C/D family function in directing site-specific 2'-O-methylation of substrate RNAs. Lineage: Eukaryota; Viridiplantae; Streptophyta; Magnoliopsida; Poales; Poaceae. The record is from Rfam by way of RNAcentral.